GGGGACCCGCACAAGCGGUGGAUGAUGUUGGAUUAAUUCGAUGCAACGCGAAGAACCUUACCUACCCUUGACAUGUCCGGAACUUGCCAGAGAUGGCUUGGUGCCCGAAAGGGAACCGGAACACAGGUGCUGCAUGGCUGUCGUCAGCUCGUGUCGUGAGAUGUUGGGUUAAGUCCCGCAACGAGCGCAACCCUUAUCAUUAGUUGCUACGCAAGGGCACUCUAAUGAGACUGCCGGUGACAAACCGGAGGAAGGUGGGGAUGACGUCAAGUCCUCAUGGCCCUUAUGACCUGGGCUACACACGUGCUACAAUGGGCGGUACAAAGGGCUGCGAACCCGCGAGGGGGAGCGAAUCCCAAAAAGCCGCUCUCAGUUCGGAUUGGAGUCUGCAACUCGACUCCAUGAAGUUGGAAUCGCUAGUAAUCGCGGAUCAGCAUGCCCGCGGUCCGAAUACGUUCCGGCCUU
RNAcentral lists this ribosomal RNA (465 nucleotides) under uncultured Tepidiphilus sp. Its description in RNAcentral is "bacterial SSU rRNA". It matches the Rfam family "Bacterial small subunit ribosomal RNA", at positions 915 to 1382 of the family's 1533-position model. The record is from RNAcentral. Lineage: Bacteria; Pseudomonadati; Pseudomonadota; Hydrogenophilia; Hydrogenophilales; Hydrogenophilaceae.